AAAAUAACAUUCUUAA
This 16-nucleotide unclassified non-coding RNA is filed under the name Saccharomyces cerevisiae (brewer's yeast). Its description in RNAcentral is "RNA (5'-R(P*AP*AP*AP*UP*AP*AP*CP*AP*UP*UP*CP*UP*U)-3') from Saccharomyces cerevisiae (PDB 7A9X, chain B)". The record is from RNAcentral. Lineage: Eukaryota; Fungi; Ascomycota; Saccharomycetes; Saccharomycetales; Saccharomycetaceae.